GUCAUACUCUCUUUGUCCGAAAAAAGCUUGUCCCUCAAAUGAAUGUAUCUAGCAUCAAGUUAGUGCUAGAUACAUUCAUUUGAGGGACAAGCUUGAGACAAUCUUUUUCGGACGGAAGGAGUACAAA
Non-coding RNA from Triticum urartu, 127 nucleotides. Lineage: Eukaryota; Viridiplantae; Streptophyta; Magnoliopsida; Poales; Poaceae. The record is from Rfam.